CGGUGGAUCACUUGGCUUGUGGACCGAUGAAGGACGCAGCAAAGUGCGUUAAUUAAUGCAAACUGCAGGACACUCGAGCAUUAAAAUUCUGAAUGCAUAUUGCAGAUUGUUAACAUUUUAUAAUUAACAAUCUAUAUCUGACUGAGGG
This 148-nucleotide ribosomal RNA is filed under the name Stylops melittae. Its description in RNAcentral is "partial 5.8S ribosomal RNA". It matches the Rfam family "5.8S ribosomal RNA". From Rfam's summary of the family: 5.8S ribosomal RNA (5.8S rRNA) is a component of the large subunit of the eukaryotic ribosome. It is transcribed by RNA polymerase I as part of the 45S precursor that also contains 18S and 28S rRNA. The record is from RNAcentral. Lineage: Eukaryota; Metazoa; Arthropoda; Insecta; Strepsiptera; Stylopidae.